GGAUAUGUGGCUUAGUGGUAAAGCACUUGCCUAGCAUGUACAAGGUCCUAGGUUUGAUCCCCAGCACUGCCA
Molecule: transfer RNA, 72 nt
Filed under: Heterocephalus glaber (naked mole-rat)
Lineage: Eukaryota; Metazoa; Chordata; Mammalia; Rodentia; Bathyergidae
Rfam family: tRNA
About the family: Transfer RNA (tRNA) molecules are approximately 80 nucleotides in length.
Source: Rfam by way of RNAcentral